Molecule: ribosomal RNA, 253 nt
Filed under: uncultured bacterium
Lineage: Bacteria
Description: partial 16S ribosomal RNA
Rfam family: Bacterial small subunit ribosomal RNA
Source: RNAcentral
GACGAAGGGGGCUAGCGUUGUUCGGAAUUACUGGGCGUAAAGGGCGCGUAGGCGGUUCUUUAAGUCAGGCGUGAAAGCCCUGGGCUCAACCUGGGAGUGGCGCUUGAUACUGAGGAACUAGAGAGUGGGAGAGGUUGGUGGAAUUCCCAGUGUAGAGGUGAAAUUCGUAGAUAUUGGGAGGAACACCAGUGGCGAAGGCGGCUAUCUGGACGAACACUGACGCUGAGGAGCGAAAGCGUGGGGAGCGAACAGG